Molecule: long non-coding RNA, 2156 nt
Organism: Pogoniulus pusillus (Red-fronted tinkerbird)
Lineage: Eukaryota; Metazoa; Chordata; Aves; Piciformes; Lybiidae
Exons: 2
Source: RefSeq, a predicted model, not a curated record
CCUAGGGCAAACCCGACCAUUUCCUAUCAGUCAUCUCCGCAGCUGUUUAGGAGCACACUGAAGCGCUGGCUUCACCCGUGGGGUUACAGCCGCCACUGCUGAGGUGUUAGAAGUGGCUGAGGUUUUCCACUAAAGCAUCAUAGCUUCUCUUUCUUCUGACUUUGCCAAUUUUCAGCUGUUGGGGCCAAAAUUGUUCAUAGCAGUUUUCUGCCUCAGGCUGAGAGACUCUGGAAAAUUUUCAUCCCAAAAGCGACGAUAAUUUUGAGGGAAGAGGUAAAAGGAGCGCCUGGGCGAGACGCCCGCCCGAGAAAUCCUGCAACAGCUCUCUCCGGGUGAAGUCCGGGCCCCGGCGUAAGACAGGACAUUGGACUUGCGAGGAGGACAGCCUCUGGGCACAGCUGGGAUUACCUCGGUGCUGAAACCUCACCCCGUUGAUCGAUCUGUGCAGGCGAGAAACUAUCACAAAACUUUCUUCACGCUUUUUUUGGUAGUUGUUGCUUGUCUUGUGACAGGCAUUGGGGCCAGUAACGAACCGGCUGGCCUCACGGCAAGCCCUGCCCUUGUCUCCUCCAGCAGGUUGCAGGCGGUGGAAAAAUCAAAAUGAGUGACUGGAGAGUCAGAUCUCUUGCACAGGCUGGAACAAGGCUGAAGAUCAGACCUCCCUACUUCAGCCUCUGGAAGAGAUUCUUCUGGGUACCACCUUAACCCAGGUCUUGCAGCAGCGUAUGAGGCAAGUAACUAUCGUAUGCUCUCUGUGCUGAGGAGAGGACUUUCCCCACACUUCCAUGAUGCUGUGCCCCUCACAAACAAUCCAUUUGUAUCACAGUGAAACUGGGGAGCUUCCUGGGUGUGGGCAAUCAGUGUGGGGCCAGCAUUCCCAGUCAUGUCUUGGAACACAGCCUGGUUGCCUACUGCAGCACCCCCACUCAAGCUUGCAAUAGCUAUUGGACUCACCGGGUCUCUUUCCUUCUUCUGUGCCAGUGAGCUUGACACCUCAUCUCACCAAACCAGGAUGUGCCACCAAGCCAUCCUGGCUAAAGGCAGCCGAGGUUGCUGGGUUAGAGGUUCAGCUGAGGCAUUGUCAUCUUUCCACAGCACCCAUCCCUGGAGGACCCUGUGCCACGGGCAGGGCUGCUGGCUGCAGCAGAGGCAGCUGCUUUGGUAGGGAGUUACAGCCACAUUUCCAGCUUGUCUUCUCGGCAGCACUGGGACAAAGUCCUUCACAGUACUGGAGGUUUCUGUGUUUGCUUAGCAUUUUUGAGAGCACUGCCUGUGUUUGCUUAUAGCUGCCUUGUGCAAAAUCCAGCUGUGCUCCAGCAGGAGUCCCUGAGCCUGGGAUGUGCCCUCUCUGCUGCCCAGGAAAUCCUGUCCCUUCCUUGGGACUCUGCAGACUUUCUUCUGCUUUAGGAUCUGCUUCAGUGAGGGCCAGGAGAGUUGUGUUUACCUGCCCUACAGGUAAUGCAAGGCAUAUGUUGGCAUUCUCAUUAUGCCCAAUGUCCAAGGAGCACGUCCUAGUAAGAUGAUGGAGAAGAUCUCUGAGCUUGCCCAUGCUUGGAGUUAAGCUCUGCAUCUUCUCAACUGGAGCCAACCAUCUGCUGUACAGCUGUGGAUUGGUCAGAAAACUGCUGGUGACUCAGUAGAGGAAGCCAAGGCAUGGCCAGACUAUUUUUAGCUGUCAGUAAAUGCACUAAAGUGGCUUACUGCUGAGUUGAAAAAAGGGUGAACAAUCCCUUCUUGCCCUAUUUAGGGAAUAAAUGUGAAAUACUUGCACCCAUUUGUAGAGUCCAAGUCAUAGGUACUGCUGGGGAGAGAGGUGCUGCACGGAGCAAUCUCUGGCCAUCCCUCUGCGUGGCUCAGGACAGGCUUUGCUUCCGUGCUGCAGCAGCACCCCAAAGUGCCAGUAGCAUGUCUGCAGAAAGAAAAGCUGAGGGAGAAUGUGUGCACUCACCUGGAAGCUUCUGCAGCUAACUAGUAGUAUUCAGGUCUCCUCAGCCCUUCUCAAAAACAAUGCCAAUAAAGGAUGGGCAGCAACAGGCCCAGGGGGGCUGGUAAACUUUUCUUUUACAAAGGGGAGCAGCAGGAAAGAAAAUUGGAACCCAAAUUUUGUAUUUUUAUCUAUAUAUAUGUAAAACAUAAUAAAUACAUAUAAAAUAAUA